Molecule: long non-coding RNA, 458 nt
Organism: Hyla sarda
Lineage: Eukaryota; Metazoa; Chordata; Amphibia; Anura; Hylidae
Exons: 2
Source: RefSeq, a predicted model, not a curated record
CAGCACUGAGCAGAUAUAACACUGCUCCUUCUCAUUCUUCAUCAGUGAGGGGCUGAUGCUGGACACUGUAGGGACCGAGAAUGCAAAGUCAUAUACACUACUGUGACUGAUGCACUAUUUCCAGGAUGUGGAGUAGCAUUUCCGGACCUACAGCAAGAUGUUGGAUGAAGACGGAGAUUUCCAGACCUAUUCCAGAAGAAUUUGGAUGAAGGCACAGCCCCUCGAAUCACGCACAUACACAGACACAUUUGCCCAAAUUCUAGAGGUAACCUCCUUUAGUAUGCCCAGAGGAAGGGCAAUACAGUAGCCAUGGAUUCCCUACAGGUUUCCUCCCCUCUGGAGGUUUUUCCUGUCCUGAGUAUUAGUUACUGUACGCUCUUUGUGAGUGAUGGAGGUUACAAAAAAUCCCUACACAAACAUUUUUAUAUAUAAUAAAUAAAGUUCCCCUUUUUAAACCA